RNAcentral lists this unclassified non-coding RNA (200 nucleotides) under soil metagenome. RNAcentral's name for it is "partial contains internal transcribed spacer 2 and large subunit ribosomal RNA". The record is from RNAcentral.
CAUUUACACCCUCAAGCUCUGCUUGGUGUUGGGCGUCUGUCCGCGCUUCUCGCGAGGACUCGCCCCAAAUCUAUUGGCAGCGGCAUCGCCGGCUUCUCGCGCAGCACAAUGCGUCAUGGAAGGUUACCGGCGGGCUUGCGUCCAUCAAGUCACCCCUCAAGUUUGACCUCGAAUCAGGUAGGGAUACCCGCUGAACUUAA